AUGGGCACCAUCAGAGAAUAGCCAGUUCAGUUGAUACAUGGCACUAGGAUGAGCUCAAAGGCACAUGGAAUUAACUGUACAGUAUGCACGGAGGACAUCUAAGUACACCUUUUUUUCCGAUACAACUAAGGGAAUCUGCUCUAAUAAUUUGAGACAGGAUGGAGACUUUAUAAACUUGAGAAGACAACUUAAAUCAUGAAGU
Molecule: long non-coding RNA, 202 nt
Filed under: Elaeis guineensis (African oil palm)
Lineage: Eukaryota; Viridiplantae; Streptophyta; Magnoliopsida; Arecales; Arecaceae
Description: long non-coding RNA (EGUI_LNC073033)
Source: RNAcentral